RNAcentral lists this ribosomal RNA (1077 nucleotides) under Bacillus sp. (in: firmicutes). RNAcentral's name for it is "bacterial SSU rRNA". It matches the Rfam family "Bacterial small subunit ribosomal RNA", at positions 71 to 1129 of the family's 1533-position model. The record is from RNAcentral. Lineage: Bacteria; Bacillati; Bacillota; Bacilli; Caryophanales; Bacillaceae.
GAUGGGAGCUUGCUCCCUGAUGUUAGCGGCGGACGGGUGAGUAACACGUGGGUAACCUGCCUGUAAGACUGGGAUAACUCCGGGAAACCGGGGCUAAUACCGGAUGCUUGAUUGAACCGCAUGGUUCAAUUAUAAAAGGUGGCUUUUAGCUACCACUUACAGAUGGACCCGCGGCGCAUUAGCUAGUUGGUGAGGUAACGGCUCACCAAGGCAACGAUGCGUAGCCGACCUGAGAGGGUGAUCGGCCACACUGGGACUGAGACACGGCCCAGACUCCUACGGGAGGCAGCAGUAGGGAAUCUUCCGCAAUGGACGAAAGUCUGACGGAGCAACGCCGCGUGAGUGAUGAAGGUUUUCGGAUCGUAAAACUCUGUUGUUAGGGAAGAACAAGUACCGUUCGAAUAGGGCGGUACCUUGACGGUACCUAACCAGAAAGCCACGGCUAACUACGUGCCAGCAGCCGCGGUAAUACGUAGGUGGCAAGCGUUGUCCGGAAUUAUUGGGCGUAAAGCGCGCGCAGGCGGUUUCUUAAGUCUGAUGUGAAAGCCCCCGGCUCAACCGGGGAGGGUCAUUGGAAACUGGGGAACUUGAGUGCAGAAGAGGAGAGUGGAAUUUCCACGUGUAGCGGUGAAAUGCGUAGAGAUGUGGAGGAACACCAGUGGCGAAGGCGACUCUCUGGUCUGUAACUGACGCUGAGGCGCGAAAGCGUGGGGAGCGAACAGGAUUAGAUACCCUGGUAGUCCACGCCGUAAACGAUGAGUGCUAAGUGUUAGAGGGUUUCCGCCCUUUAGUGCUGCAGCAAACGCAUUAAGCACUCCGCCUGGGGAGUACGGUCGCAAGACUGAAACUCAAAGGAAUUGACGGGGGCCCGCACAAGCGGUGGAGCAUGUGGUUUAAUUCGAAGCAACGCGAAGAACCUUACCAGGUCUUGACAUCCUCUGACAACCCUAGAGAUAGGGCUUCCCCUUCGGGGGCAGAGUGACAGGUGGUGCAUGGUUGUCGUCAGCUCGUGUCGUGAGAUGUUGGGUUAAGUCCCGCAACGAGCGCAACCCUUGAUCUUAGUUGCCAGCAUUCAGU